This 65-nucleotide transfer RNA is filed under the name Dipodomys ordii (Ord's kangaroo rat). It matches the Rfam family "tRNA". From Rfam's summary of the family: Transfer RNA (tRNA) molecules are approximately 80 nucleotides in length. Their secondary structure includes four short double-helical elements and three loops (D, anti-codon, and T loops). The record is from Rfam by way of RNAcentral. Lineage: Eukaryota; Metazoa; Chordata; Mammalia; Rodentia; Heteromyidae.
GGUGGCGCAGUGGUAGAGUGCUUGCCUUGCAUGCAUGAGGCCCUGGGUUCCAUUUCCCAGCACCA